ACACAUGCAAGUCGAACGAUGAUGCCCAGCUUGCUGGGUGGAUUAGUGGCGAACGGGUGAGUAACACGUGAGUAACCUGCCCCUGACUCUGGGAUAAGCGUUGGAAACGACGUCUAAUACUGGAUAUGACUACNGGCCGCAUGGUCUGGUGGUGGAAAGAUUUUUUGGUUGGGGAUGGACUCGCGGCCUAUCAGCUUGUUGGUGAGGUAAUGGCUCACCAAGGCGACGACGGGUAGCCGGCCUGAGAGGGUGACCGGCCACACUGGGACUGAGACACGGCCCAGACUCCUACGGGAGGCAGCAGUGGGGAAUAUUGCACAAUGGGCGAAAGCCUGAUGCAGCAACGCCGCGUGAGGGAUGACGGCCUUCGGGUUGUAAACCUCUUUUAGUAGGGAAGAAGCGAAAGUGACGGUACCUGCAGAAAAAGCACCGGCUAACUACGUGCCAGCAGCCGCGGUAAUACGUAGGGUGCAAGCGUUGUCCGGAAUUAUUGGGCGUAAAGAGCUCGUAGGCGGUUUGUCGCGUCUGCUGUGAAAUCCCGAGGCUCAACCUCGGGCUUGCAGUGGGUACGGGCAGACUAGAGUGCGGUAGGGGAGAUUGGAUUCCUGGUGUAGCGGUGGAAUGCGCAGAUAUCAGGAGGAACACCGAUGGCGAAGGCAGAUCUCUGGGCCGUAACUGACGCUGAGGAGCGAAAGCGUGGGGAGCGAACAGGAUUAGAUACCCUGGUAGUCCACGCCGUAAACGUUGGGCGCUAGAUGUAGGGACCUUUCCACGGUUUCUGUGUCGUAGCUAACGCAUUAAGCGCCCCGCCUGGGGAGUACGGCCGCAAGGCUAAAACUCAAAGGAAUUGACGGGGGCCCGCACAAGCGGCGGAGCAUGCGGAUUAAUUCGAUGCAACGCGAAGAACCUUACCAAGGCUUGACAUACACCGGUAACGGCCAGAGAUGGUCGCCCCCUUGUGGUCGGUGUACAGGUGGUGCAUGGUUGUCGUCAGCUCGUGUCGUGAGAUGUUGGGUUAAGUCCCGCAACGAGCGCAACCCUCGUUCUAUGUUGCCAGCGCGUUAUGGCGGGGACUCAUAGGAGACUGCCGGGGUCAACUCGGAGGAAGGUGGGGAUGACGUCAAAUCAUCAUGCCCCUUAUGUCUUGGGCUUCACGCAUGCUACAAUGGCCGGUACAAAGGGCUGCGAUACCGUAAGGUGGAGCGAAUCCCAAAAAGCCGGUCUCAGUUCGGAUUGAGGUCUGCAACUCGACCUCAUGAAGUCGGAGUCGCUAGUAAUCGCAGAUCAGCAACGCUGCGGUGAAUACGUUCCCGGGCCUUGUACACACCGCCCGUCAAGUCAUGAAAGUCGGUAACACCCGAAGCCGGUGGCCUAACCCUUGUGGAAGGAGCCGUCGAAGGUGGGAU
Molecule: ribosomal RNA, 1406 nt
Filed under: Curtobacterium oceanosedimentum
Lineage: Bacteria; Bacillati; Actinomycetota; Actinomycetes; Micrococcales; Microbacteriaceae
Description: bacterial SSU rRNA
Rfam family: Bacterial small subunit ribosomal RNA
Source: RNAcentral